UUCGGAUUGUAGUCUGCAACCUGACUACAUGAAGCUGGAAUCGCUAGUAAUCGCGGAUCAGAAUGCCGCGGUGAAUACGUUCCCGGGUCUUGUACACACCGCCCGUCACACCAUGGGAGUCGGAAAUGCCCGAAGUCUGUGACCUAACCGAGAGGGAGGAGCAGCCGAAGGCAGGUCUGAUGACUGGGGUGAAGUCGUAACAAGGUAUC
RNAcentral lists this ribosomal RNA (209 nucleotides) under uncultured bacterium. RNAcentral describes it as "partial 16S ribosomal RNA". It matches the Rfam family "Bacterial small subunit ribosomal RNA", at positions 1292 to 1500 of the family's 1533-position model. The record is from RNAcentral.